CUCGAGCGGUAGAGAGAAGCUUGCUUCUCUUGAGAGCGGCGGACGGGUGAGUAAUGCCUAGGAAUCUGCCUGGUAGUGGGGGAUAACGUUCGGAAACGGACGCUAAUACCGCAUACGUCCUACGGGAGAAAGCAGGGGACCUUCGGGCCUUGCGCUAUCAGAUGAGCCUAGGUCGGAUUAGCUAGUUGGUGGGGUAAUGGCUCACCAAGGCGACGAUCCGUAACUGGUCUGAGAGGAUGAUCAGUCACACUGGAACUGAGACACGGUCCAGACUCCUACGGGAGGCAGCAGUGGGGAAUAUUGGACAAUGGGCGAAAGCCUGAUCCAGCCAUGCCGCGUGUGUGAAGAAGGUCUUCGGAUUGUAAAGCACUUUAAGUUGGGAGGAAGGGUUGUAGAUUAAUACUCUGCAAUUUUGACGUUACCGACAGAAUAAGCACCGGCUAACUCUGUGCCAGCAGCCGCGGUAAUACAGAGGGUGCAAGCGUUAAUCGGAAUUACUGGGCGUAAAGCGCGCGUAGGUGGUUUGUUAAGUUGGAUGUGAAAUCCCCGGGCUCAACCUGGGAACUGCAUUCAAAACUGACUGACUAGAGUAUGGUAGAGGGUGGUGGAAUUUCCUGUGUAGCGGGGAAAUGCGUAGAUAUAGGAAGGAACACCAGUGGCGAAGGCGACCACCUGGGACUAAUACUGACACUGAGGUGCGAAAGCGUGGGGAGC
Molecule: ribosomal RNA, 714 nt
Filed under: Pseudomonas sp. GIC22
Lineage: Bacteria; Pseudomonadati; Pseudomonadota; Gammaproteobacteria; Pseudomonadales; Pseudomonadaceae
Description: bacterial SSU rRNA
Rfam family: Bacterial small subunit ribosomal RNA
Source: RNAcentral